GACGAACGCUGGCGGCGUGCUUAACACAUGCAAGUCGAACGGAAAGGCCCUGCUUUUUUGGUGUGCUCGAGUGGCGAACGGGUGAGUAACACGUGAGUAACCUGCCCUUCACUUUGGGAUAACUUCAGGAAACUGGGGCUAAUCCCGUAUAGGAUCUCCUGCUGCAUGGUGGGGGUUGGAAAUUUUCGGCGGUUGGGGAUGAACUGGCGGCUUAUCAGCUUGUUGGUGGGGUAGUUGCUUACCAAGGCUUUGACGGGUAGCCGGCCUGAGAGGGUGACCGGCCACAUUGGGACUGAGAUACGGCCCAGAGUCCUACGGGAGGCAGCAGUGGGGAAUAUUGCACAAUGGGCGGAAGCCUGAUGCAGCAACGCCGCGUGCGGGAUGACGGCCUUCGGGUUGUAAACCGCUUUCGCCUGUGACGAAGCGUGAGUGACGGUAAUGGGUAAAGAAGCACCGGCUAACUACGUG
RNAcentral lists this ribosomal RNA (468 nucleotides) under uncultured bacterium. RNAcentral describes it as "partial 16S ribosomal RNA". It matches the Rfam family "Bacterial small subunit ribosomal RNA", at positions 28 to 507 of the family's 1533-position model. The record is from RNAcentral.